Long non-coding RNA from Carassius carassius (crucian carp), 644 nucleotides. RefSeq lists it as uncharacterized. The record is from RefSeq and is a predicted model, not a curated record. The transcript has 2 exons. NCBI's taxonomy places the organism in Eukaryota, Metazoa, Chordata, Actinopteri, Cypriniformes, Cyprinidae.
AAAUAAAGCAACCAUGGGACAUGAAUGGGAAAUAUAUGAAACAUCCAGAGUGCAAAAGAUUCAUAUCCACCCAAAAGUUACACAUUUUUUCUGUUUGCAAGGGGAAACAGUCGCAAAAUUACCCCAGUUUAGGAGGAAAUAAGGUGCGACCACUAUUUCAUAGAACAGCCAAGGUGUGGCCAUUUUUGAACAGCUUAGGAGAGUUCAAUUUCAACUGUCAUUUUAAAAUAUGUAGCCUAUUCAUUACAGAAUUAAGGUAUUGAUUCAGUGGGAAGUGUUUCUACUACUUGACUGCUCAAUUACUCAUGAACAUCCCUGAUAUGGAAAGACAUGUUUUUAUGUAGCCCAGGAUUAAAGAGAAUCCAAAACACAAACGGUCAUGAGAUCUUCUUGAUCAUACCAGGUAAAAGAAUUCAUUUACUUUGUGUUCUUUUGUAGUGCCUUUGUUGAGGAAGAUCAGCUCUUUCGUUUCUUUCUCCUUCCCUCUGUCCUCUCCCAGUUCCCCUUUUACUUUCUCCCCUGCACUUGACUUGUGGCCUGCAGAAUGUCAGUGAUGCUGUAUUCAUGCAGUCUUGUUGUUGUUUGCAUGUGUGUGUGAGAAAGUAAUAUAUAACAUGCACAUGAGCCAUUCUUCCCUACAGAAG